Molecule: ribosomal RNA, 460 nt
Filed under: uncultured bacterium
Lineage: Bacteria
Description: partial 16S ribosomal RNA
Rfam family: Bacterial small subunit ribosomal RNA
Source: RNAcentral
CCUACGGGAGGCUGCAGUGGGGAAUAUUGGUCAAUGGGCGUAAGCCUGAACCAGCCAAGUCGCGUGAGGGAUGAAGGUUCUAUGGAUCGUAAACCUCUUUUAUAAGGGAAUAAAGUGCGGGACGUGUCCCGUUUUGUAUGUACCUUAUGAAUAAGGAUCGGCUAACUCCGUGCCAGCAGCCGCGGUAAUACGGAGGAUCCGAGCGUUAUCCGGAUUUAUUGGGUUUAAAGGGUGCGUAGGCGGCCUUUUAAGUCAUCGGUGAAAGUCUGUGGCUCAACCAUAGAAUUGCCGUUGAAACUGGGAGGCUUGAGUAUGUUUGAGGCAGGCGGAAUGCGUGGUGUAGCGGUGAAAUGCUUAGAUAUCACGCAGAACCCCGAUUGCGAAGGCAGCCUGCCAAGCCAUGACUGACGCUGAUGCACGAAAGCGUGGGGAGCAAACAGGAUUAGAUACCCCAGUAGUC